UCUGGCCUCAAAUCAAGUAGGACUACCCGCUGAACUAAAGCAUAUC
RNAcentral lists this ribosomal RNA (46 nucleotides) under Filobasidium magnum. Its description in RNAcentral is "partial 26S ribosomal RNA". The record is from RNAcentral. Lineage: Eukaryota; Fungi; Basidiomycota; Tremellomycetes; Filobasidiales; Filobasidiaceae.